GACAUAAAAAAAAAGGAGAUGCAGACUUUAGAGAGAGAAAGUAAGAGUCUGAGAAAGUAGAGAGAGAGAGAGAGCAGCAAAGAAAAAGGAUCCGAUGGGUUCCGGUCGCCGGUGAUGGCGGAGCCAUGGUGCCUUUAGAUGGAGCUACAACAGUGGUGGUCUAGGUGGUGUCGGGUUGGAGAAACAAACAACAGUGGUGGUGCUAGGGUUUGAUAGAGGAUGAUGGUGGUAAGAGGCGGUGGUUCAGUUGACAACUGUGACGACCUCUUCCUUUUCUUAAAACCCCCUUCUAUAUUGUCUCUCAUGUUCUUAUCCAUUCCUCCACCAAUUCCAGGGAAAGGCCCUCAUGUUGGCUGAAAUAUUUGAUUAUGUCCACUUUUCAAGUCGAGGCGUGUGUAAGUGUGUGUAUAUAUUUCUGUUUCAUUAUGUUAGUUAGAGAAAAUAUACUUUUCUAAUUAUAAAUUAACAAACAAAUUUUCAUUUUUUUAAUGAAGCUUGCUCCCGUUAUUCCUAUGCCAUAUGAUUUUGUAGUGGAUUUGAUAUUUGAAUGCAUUCAUGCUUAAACCUGAUAAGGUAAUUAAUUAAUAUUUAAGGUUUUAUGAUCCUAUGGCUUAUAGCAUCAGCUAGAACUUAUGCAACCUAUCUAGAAAGACAAGCGAAAAAGCAUAACAGAAUAGUCCUUUUAUUAAAACCAAUCGAAAUAUAGGCAAUGUAUUCUAGAGUUCGAAAUAUCUGUUCAUAAAUUUCAAAGUAGGCUGAUUUAGGUUGUGGUUUACCUGUAGUGGAGUAGUGGGUCAAGUAGGAAAGGUAAGUUCAAAGAGAACAUGUCAAAUGGUUGAAAUUCGUCUCAAAUGUAUUUUUAAUGUUUAUCGUCUCUCACAUUGUAUUAAUUAAAAAAUAGAAUAUUACAGUACAACAAAGCUAUUGUAGGCGUUCUAACAAGUAUUGAUACAUAGCUUGGAGGUUGUUAGUAUGGUGAUGGAACCCAUAUCAAUCGGUUUGAACGUUGGUCUUGACAUUGUUAGGGGAAGCUCCAGUUUUCUUUGUUGAUGAUUUACGUACAUGCCAAUAUUUUAAAUAGAUAUCAUCGGAAACUAAAGGAAUCUGAAACAACCAUUAUUGUUGGGAAUAAGAUAGUAUGAUGUUAGAAUUCUAAUUUAUUUUAGUACUUAUGUCACUACAACACUAAAAUAUACUGUCUAUCCGGCCGCAACGCGGCGGGUACUUUCCUAGUUUUUAUAUAAAUGCAUAUAUUUUUUUUUCUA
Molecule: long non-coding RNA, 1265 nt
Organism: Helianthus annuus (common sunflower)
Lineage: Eukaryota; Viridiplantae; Streptophyta; Magnoliopsida; Asterales; Asteraceae
Exons: 2
Source: RefSeq, a predicted model, not a curated record